AGAUUGAACGCUGGCGGCAGGCCUAACACAUGCAAGUCGAGCGGUAGAGAGGUGCUUGCACCUCUUGAGAGCGGCGGACGGGUGAGUAAUGCCUAGGAAUCUGCCUAGUGGUGGGGGAUAACGUUCGGAAACGGACGCUAAUACCGCAUACGUCCUACGGGAGAAAGCGGGGGACCUUCGGGCCUCGCGCCAUUAGAUGAGCCUAGGUCGGAUUAGCUAGUUGGUGAGGUAAUGGCUCACCAAGGCGACGCUCCGUAACUGGUCUGAGAGGAUGAUCAGUCACACUGGAAACUGAGACACGGUCCAGACUCCUACGGGAGCAGCAGUGGGGAAUAUU
RNAcentral lists this ribosomal RNA (337 nucleotides) under uncultured soil bacterium. RNAcentral describes it as "bacterial SSU rRNA". It matches the Rfam family "Bacterial small subunit ribosomal RNA", at positions 26 to 365 of the family's 1533-position model. The record is from RNAcentral.